Molecule: ribosomal RNA, 497 nt
Filed under: uncultured bacterium
Lineage: Bacteria
Description: partial 16S ribosomal RNA
Rfam family: Bacterial small subunit ribosomal RNA
Source: RNAcentral
GACGAACGCUGGCGGCGUGCCUAAUACAUGCAAGUUGAGCGCUGAAGGUUGGUACUUGUACCAACUGGAUGAGCAGCGAACGGGUGAGUAACGCGUGGGGAAUCUGCCUUUGAGCGGGGGACAACAUUUGGAAACGAAUGCUAAUACCGCAUAAAAACUUUAAACACAAGUUUUAAGUUUGAAAGAUGCGAUUGCAUCACUCAAAGAUGAUCCCGCGUUGUAUUAGCUAGUUGGUGAGGUAAAGGCUCACCAAGGCGAUGAUACAUAGCCGACCUGAGAGGGUGAUCGGCCACAUUGGGACUGAGACACGGCCCAAACUCCUACGGGAGGCAGCAGUAGGGAAUCUUCGGCAAUGGACGAAAGUCUGACCGAGCAACGCCGCGUGAGUGAAGAAGGUUUUCGGAUCGUAAAACUCUGUUGGUAGAGAAGAACGUUGGUGAGGGUGGAAAGCUCAUCAAGUGACGGUAACUACCCAGAAAGGGACGGCUAACUACGUG